UCCCUGGUGGCUCAGACAGUAAAGAACCUGCCUGCAAUGCAGGAGACCCAGGUUCGAUCCCUGGGUAAGGAG
Molecule: transfer RNA, 72 nt
Filed under: Ovis aries (sheep)
Lineage: Eukaryota; Metazoa; Chordata; Mammalia; Artiodactyla; Bovidae
Rfam family: tRNA
About the family: Transfer RNA (tRNA) molecules are approximately 80 nucleotides in length.
Source: Rfam by way of RNAcentral